UACGUAGGAGGCGAGCGUUAUCCGGAUUUACUGGGCGUAAAGAGCGCGUAGGCGGUCUCGUAAGUUGGGCGUGAAAGCCCCCGGCUUAACUGGGGAGGGUCGUUCAAUACUGCGGGACUGGAGGGUGGAAGAGGAGACUGGAAUUCCCGGUGUAGUGGUGAAAUGCGUAGAUAUCGGGAGGAACACCAGUGGCGAAGGCGAGUCUCUAGGCCACUCCUGACGCUGAGGCGCGAAAGCGUGGGGAGCGAACGGA
This 253-nucleotide ribosomal RNA is filed under the name uncultured bacterium. RNAcentral's name for it is "partial 16S ribosomal RNA". It matches the Rfam family "Bacterial small subunit ribosomal RNA", at positions 524 to 776 of the family's 1533-position model. The record is from RNAcentral.